Molecule: ribosomal RNA, 548 nt
Filed under: Triticum aestivum (bread wheat)
Lineage: Eukaryota; Viridiplantae; Streptophyta; Magnoliopsida; Poales; Poaceae
Description: partial small subunit ribosomal RNA
Source: RNAcentral
GCACCUAAUAAGGGAAUAAAUAACCUCCACGAUGUAGAGCAGUGGAGAGAAGAGCAAUACAAAACCACUCCCUUUUCAUUUAUAGCAUGUACGUAGAAACUAGUACUGCUUAUCAUAACUUACACGGAAAAUACAAACCGACUCAAGAUCAUAAGUUAACACCCACACACACGGUACGACUAGAGUACUGCAAAUAGGAAAAACAACCAACCGUUCUCAUAUAUACUUGGAUACGGACAAUUUGGUUGUUUCCAUUAUUUCCAACACAACAGGUACAUCAUGGUUCACCGAGUCGCAUAAUAAUGCUCACCAAAACGACCGUUGUGUUGGGCGGCGGUGCUAGAGAAAUCUGCGCCGCCAAAAUCAGAGCGGCGUGGUCGCUCGCGCAAGCUGACGCGGUGGGAUCUUCUACGAGAAGAUGCACGACGACCGUUGCGUUGGGCGGUGGUGCUAGAGAUUUCUUCGUCGCAAGAACGAGAGGGGCUUCCAUGCCGUGGGCGAGCACCACGGGGAGAGUUUCUUGCAUCGUCAGAGCGGCCUUGGCGCGC